This 281-nucleotide ribosomal RNA is filed under the name uncultured Bifidobacteriales bacterium. RNAcentral describes it as "partial 16S ribosomal RNA". It matches the Rfam family "Bacterial small subunit ribosomal RNA", at positions 530 to 810 of the family's 1533-position model. The record is from RNAcentral. Lineage: Bacteria; Bacillati; Actinomycetota; Actinomycetes; Bifidobacteriales.
GGGCGCAAGCGUUAUCCGGAAUUAUUGGGCGUAAAGAGCUUGUAGGCGGUUCGUCGCGUCUGGUGUGAAAGCCCAUCGCUUAACGGUGGGUCUGCGCCGGGUACGGGCGGGCUAGAGUGCAGUAGGGGAGACUGGAAUUCCCGGUGUAACGGUGGAAUGUGUAGAUAUCGGGAAGAACACCAAUGGCGAAGGCAGGUCUCUGGGCUGUUACUGGCGCUGAGAAGCGAAAGCGUGGGGAGCGAACAGGAUUAGAUACCCUGGUAGUCAAGGGCGAAUUCGUU